This 513-nucleotide ribosomal RNA is filed under the name uncultured bacterium. RNAcentral's name for it is "partial 16S ribosomal RNA". It matches the Rfam family "Bacterial small subunit ribosomal RNA", at positions 28 to 523 of the family's 1533-position model. The record is from RNAcentral.
GAUGAACGCUGGCGGCGUGCCUAAUACAUGCAAGUCGAGCGAACAGAUAAGGAGCUUGCUCCUUUGACGUUAGCGGCGGACGGGUGAGUAACACGUGGGUAACCUACCUAUAAGACUGGGAUAACUUCGGGAAACCGGAGCUAAUACCGGAUAACAUUUGGAACCGCAUGGUUCUAAAGUGAAAGAUGGUUUUGCUAUCACUUAUAGAUGGACCCGCGCCGUAUUAGCUAGUUGGUAAGGUAACGGCUUACCAAGGCGACGAUACGUAGCCGACCUGAGAGGGGGAUCGGCCACACUGGAACUGAGACACGGUCCAGACUCCUACGGGAGGCAGCAGUAGGGAAUCUUCCGCAAUGGGCGAGAGCCUGACGGAGCAACGCCGCGUGAGUGAUGAAGGGUUUCGGCUCGUAAAACUCUGUUAUUAGGGAAGAACAAACGUGUAAGUAACUGUGCACGUCUUGACGGUACCUAAUCAGAAAGCCACGGCUAACUACGUGCCAGCAGCCGCAGUAA